CUACGGGGGGCUCCAGUGAGGAAUAUUGCACAAUGGGGGGAACCCUGAUGCAGCAACGCCGCGUGGAGGAUGACGCAUCUCGGUGUGUAAACUCCUUUUAUAUGUCAAGAAAAUGACGGUAGCAUAUGAAUAAGCACCGGCUAACUCCGUGCCAGCAGCCGCGGUAAUACGGAGGGUGCAAGCGUUACUCGGAAUCACUGGGCGUAAAGGACGCGUAGGCGGGCUUGUAAGUCAGGUGUGAAAUCCUACAGCUUAACUGUAGAACUGCACUUGAAACUACGAGCCUAGAGUAUGGGAGGGGCAGAUGGAAUUAGUGGUGUAGGGGUAAAAUCCGUAGAUAUCACUAGGAAUACCUAAAGCGAAGGCGAUCUGCUGGAACAUAACUGACGCUAAGGCGUGAAAGCGUGGGGAGCAAACAGGAUUAGAUACCCUAGUAGUC
Molecule: ribosomal RNA, 439 nt
Filed under: uncultured bacterium
Lineage: Bacteria
Description: partial 16S ribosomal RNA
Rfam family: Bacterial small subunit ribosomal RNA
Source: RNAcentral